Molecule: ribosomal RNA, 669 nt
Filed under: uncultured Bacillota bacterium
Lineage: Bacteria; Bacillati; Bacillota
Description: bacterial SSU rRNA
Rfam family: Bacterial small subunit ribosomal RNA
Source: RNAcentral
GAGUUUGAUCAUGGCUCAGGCACGAACGCUGGCGGCGUGCCUAAUACAUGCAAGUCGAGCGCGGGAAGCGAGCGGAUCCCUUCGGGGUGAAGCUCGUGGAACGAGCGGCGGACGGGUGAGUAACACGUGGGCAACCUGCCUGUAAGAUCGGAAUAACCCCGGGAAACCGGGGCUAAUGCCGGGUAAUACUUUUCUUCGCAUGAAGAUGAGUUGAAAGAUGGCUUCUCGCUAUCACUUACAGAUGGGCCCGCGGCGCAUUAGCUAGUUGGUGAGGUAACGGCUCACCCAGGCAACGAUGCGUAGCCGACCUGAGAGGGUGAUCGGCCACACUGGGACUGAGACACGGCCCAGACUCCUACGGGAGGCAGCAGUAGGGAAUCUUCCGCAAUGGACGAAAGUCUGACGGAGCAACGCCGCGUGAACGAUGAAGGUCUUCGGAUCGUAAAGUUCUGUUGUCAGGGAAGAACAAGUACCGUGCGAAUAGAGCGGUACCUUGACGGUACCUGACGAGGAAGCCCCGGCUAACUACGUGCCCAGCAGCCGCGGUAAUACGUAGGGGGCAAGCGUUUGUCCCGGAAUUAUUGGGCGUAAAGCGCGCGCAGGCGGGUUCCUUUAAGUCUGAUGUGAAGCCCCACGGCUCAACCCGUGGAAGGGUCCAUUUGGAAACCU